UACUAAAGCUGGUAUGAACUGUGUAGGAGAUGCUGCCUGCAGUAAGUCUUAAGCCAGGAGGAGGAGGAGGAUGUUUUAUGUGAUGUAACAAAGCUUUCUAUAGUCCUAGGGAGUCACUAGCUUCAUAGUAGACUUUCCUCAGUGAAGAGAGAGUAGGGUACAAAACCUGAAACUAUUGAAGCCAAAGUAACCCCAGUGCUCCCAACAUUUUUAGCAGGCGAAUAGACUUUGUAUUUCAAAACCCUGAGGAAUUAAAAUUUGUCCUUUGCAUACAGAGCUCUGAAUAUGCAUUUAGGGUGGCUACAGAGCAAAGCAUUCCUGAAUUACAGGUGAAACAAGUGUGUUCAAAGUCCAGAGGAAGGACCUGAAGAACAUAGCCACAGAUUCAGACUUCAGGUUACUGGUUUCAUAUUCUUUGAUCCAGUGCAUGUAAGGACACACUUAAAGUGUCGGUAAUCUGUGCCUGGCAGAUACAUAACUUGUCUGUGGUAGUAGCAGGCUGCACUCCCAGCUGACUCAGGCUUGCCACUGCUAAGGCAUCAACUUGACAGUUGAUAGUUUGAAUUUUGGAAGAGAUAAGUAGUUCAUAGGCCAUGAAGCUAAUUACAGUGCUUAUUAAGAAGUGUCACUAAAUCCGUCUAAGGCUGAUAAUGAAUUUUAUCAAAUAAUCUUGUUAAAGUGGAAGUAGAUUAGUAGAGCAGAGGUGGGGUUUUUUGUACAGUGCUCAGCAUAAUAGAGCCUAAAUGCAGCUGAAUAACUUGAAUUUCAGCUGUGUUAAGAAUUUUCCUGUGAGUUGAGUCUAGCAUUUCAAGCACAGUAGGAAAACAGGUAGCUAGCAAACUAUUGGAAACACAACUGAAUACCACGCAGGGUGAAUAGACAAGCCUUUAGCUGUCACUUCAAUUUCUUGUCUGCUAAAGACCAAGGUUUAGAACUACUUGCACAAAACUUAGGCAUUAUCAAGAUGGUCGGAAUCCCUCUUCAAGGUAAGUUUGGGAGGGUGGGGUUUAUUUUUUGUUUAAAACUAAAUGUCUACUAAACAUUCUGUCCUUUAGAAGUGGCACUUCUAAAGAGGUUACUUUCUAAGUUGACACCUUGUUUUCCUGUGAGGAUACUCCAUCCCACACACUCAUUCUCAGUGCUGUGAUGCCUCUCUUGUGCAGCCACCUACUGCAGGAGUGAAAAUCUUAGUGCCGUCAAUUCUUCAAUGUGGUUCACUGAGUGAGUGCUUUACCAGUAAUGCUGGCAUGCAUGGGACUGGAAUGGGGAAGGCUCAAAUAAUUUCCAGGUGUCAAAGCACAGCCUUUGUGUAGUGCUGCGGAUGCCCUACAGCAAGCUUAGGUUGUUAUGUUAGAAGAUAAAGUUAGAAUUGAAGAGGGCCUCAAAGAGGGGUGGAGUAAGGUAGGUUAUUUAGCAAACUCCAUACCAGCUCACUGUAGUGGAAGAUAAAUUGUGUGAGAGAAGUGAUGAAAACAGGAAAAACAGAAUUAUCUCCCUUGGUUGUUUUAAGGGAAGACCUUGUACAGAGGAGAAAGAAUUGCUUUGAAAAAAUGACAGUAUGUACAACCUAAAGGAGGUUUCUGGUUUUUCCCAACCUUGUUUUGGCCAUGGUUAAUGUCAGGAAUAACAGAAAAGUUUUCUUUACUGUCUGUCCCCUAAUAAUUUGCAUCAGAUCGCUGCAUAAAUCUGAGGAUGUGAUGCAGCUGCUGCAAAAUGCAGUGAUCGGAGUGAUAGCCCCCCCCAGGUGUGUGUGUGUGUGUUGUGGGUUUUUUGUGAUGGUUUAUAUCUGGUCCACUCAAUGUCCUACUUUACAAGUUGCCUUUUCUAUCUGCCAGUGCUUUAAAUUCAUCCUAGAGUCUUAAAAAUAAUGUUUGUCGAGAGUUACCUGUGAAGAAACUCAAGGACACAGUGUACUGUUUUUUCCCCCUGGAAGUUUAAGGCAGAAUUCAGUGAAACGGUACACUUGUUCUGAACUGUAGGAUGUCCCAGAAAUUGUAGAAAUCCUGGGUGCCGCACGGUGCGCCUAGUUUUUAUGCCCAGGGCGCCUGGGCUUAGACAUAAUAGGCUGCAGGAUCUGCAUAGUGGCUCUAGUAGCUGUUUCUCAGAAACAGGGCAAUACAAGGCUGGUGGUCGUAUUCUGGGUCAGUAUCAGGAGUAUAGCUUCUACUGCCCUCGUGCACUGGAAAAAAAGAAUCACAGGUGGUAUGAUCCAGAAACAUGAAAUUUGAGAAUGUUACCACUUAAUUUUCAUUUUUAUUGUCAUGCUUGUCCUUCCAGGGAAACACAACUGGGUUUUGGCUGUCUACCUGGGGCUGUGUUUUCUACUGCAAGCUUGAAAGUCACCUGGGAAAUACCAGUGUUAACGUAACUGCUGAACGAUACAGCUGAACCUAUGGGUGUGGGAGGUGAUCACUCUCAAGGCAAGGAUGAACAGAAUAGAGGGGACGAGCUUGUGUUAAAAUUCUUCCCUCAUAUUGGAGGCACAAAGUGUGAAAAAAGCCAGGGCAGGAUCCAGGAUGCUCCUUCAUUCUCUUUGCAGAGAAACCGAAGAAUGUGGUCUGGGGAAACCUGCUUCUGGUUUGCAUGCCAUCCCUCCCCGGCGGCGUCACCAGCAUUGCCAGUUCCUAUGAGGUACUCUGCUUGGUGACUAGAGAACUUUAUUUAGCAGGACACACAAUCAAGCAGCUCCAAUUGGGAAACUAUGUAAGAGCAAAAUUAAAAAAAAAAAUAACCAGUGUUGAAAGAAACUAAUUAGGUACAUAAUAUCUAGAAUCACAUCCGUGGUAACUUAGCUAUGCAUUGCAUAAAUGUAUUGUUUAUGAAUAAACUGUAAUAUUGUCAGUCCCUAACUUCUACAUGCUUUUCAUGCCACCAGGGCUUGGAUAAUCAUUUUAUGCAGGAAUUUCCUGAGAGCUGAUCACCCUUUAUGCUAUGUGGUCUCUCCUGACUUCACCUUUCAGGAGCUAUGGGCAGUAACUGCAGUAUGGGUAUGCGUAUAAUGGCUUGGCAGGUCUCCACAGUUGUGGAAUUUACAAUCAUUGCUGUAUGUGUAAUGCUUGGAACAGCUUUUUUUUUUUAUUUCUGGUGGAUGAUGAAUUAGGCCAUCUGUCUCCAAUGUCUGCUGACCCUUCCCCCCACUCUCCUCUUUCUGGGUAUGUUGGCACUGCUGCACAGUCAGCCAAGGUCAAGGUCUGGAGCCUGGGUCUUUGACCUUCACUGCUGAGACCACGGUGGCUCAGUCCUCACUUUCCUAGGGUAAUUCUCCAGUAUGUUAUGCACCCACAGGUCUGAGAUGCCAUGCAAGGAGGAGGGAUCCCUUUACAGUAACAUUAAGAAUGCGAUAGUAGGAACUUCCUUCACACAUGUAGCUGAUACUUGAAGAAUACCUUAUGCCUAAAGUUAAUGAGUGGGCUAGUUUUUCAAACUAUGAAUGGGACACUUCCUGAUUUGCACCAAAAAAGGCAGGUGAUGCCUGAAAUCAGAUUAAUUGAACAUAGAUCUGAAAAUGUUAGAUGCAGAUGCACUUAAACAUCGUUGAGACAAAUGGAAGCUUUGAUAAAACAGAAACAGAAAGCCAAGUAAAUUUGUCUUGGAUCAUUCCAUUUUGUUCCUGGCCUGAAAUAAAAAUACAUGGUAGUGAUAUAAGUGUCAGAAGCCAAACAGAUGUGAAGGUUUACCUCUAUAAACCAACAUAGUGUUAGUAACUGUAGAACUUGAUCCAAAAUUUCUGAGAUUAAUGGGAAUUUUUCUGCUGAGUUUAUUGGGCUUUGGAUUAAGUGCAUAGAUACGAAAGACUUUAUGUAACAGCUCGCAGCAGUAAAGAUCUCUGCAAGCACUUGGGGAAUCUUUGGGAAGCUUUUCAGUAAACACCUACAUCUUUAGCAUGAGUGUAAGACUGGAAGGCUUGUUUACUGCUGUUGGCAGUCAUCAUAGGGAUAUACGGGUGCCUGGGCAGCUCUGCAGGGAGGGGACUUCUGCAGUAUUGCCAGUGUUGUUACAAUAUGAGGAGUGAAGUGUAACAACAACAAAGAAAAAAAAGUGAGAGUGUAUGAAAAUUUUGGGGCUUAUAUAGAAGGCGGUAGGUCCUUUUGGCUUGAUGCUUCCCUUUUGGCCUUUAAAGGUGCGUGCAAACCAUACUUCAAAGCGAUUGUGCACAUCCAGGAAAGCUAGGAGUUUUUAAUUGAAACCUGAAAUUCCCAUGCAGUGGUAUGACUCCAUCAUGUAGGGCUAAAAAAUGGAGGAGAGCAUCAUGAGAUCUGCAUUCACUCUUUGGAAGAGGUGAUACUGAGCUAGUGGAGGGAAUGAUGGAAUGAGAUUUAAUGGAUUUGAUCAGCAGUGAGGGAGAAUGGGAAAUCCCUAAGCAUGGGAAGUAAUCAAAACACAUCUGAUGACAGAGGAGAUGUAGGAUGCCUGGAAAAAAGUAACUCUCUUGUGAUUCUAGAUCUUUUCCUCUGACAAAGAAAAAUUGACUAGUGCUAUGCAAAUUCUGUGCACAAUAUGUUUAGCCCAAUAGUUCCAAAGGGUUGUUAGUUUUCAGCUUUUUUUCACUUGGCUAGUUUCAAGUACAUGUUUUUGCACCUGU
Molecule: long non-coding RNA, 4582 nt
Organism: Falco peregrinus (peregrine falcon)
Lineage: Eukaryota; Metazoa; Chordata; Aves; Falconiformes; Falconidae
Exons: 3
Source: RefSeq, a predicted model, not a curated record